UAUGAGGAAAGUCCGGGCUCCACAGGGCAAGGAUAACGGGUAACGCCCGCCGAAGGCGACUUCAGGAAAAGUGCAACAGAGAUAUACCGCCGCGUCAAUCCAAACCGAAGCCAGGCCCAGCGGGCUGCAUUAGGAAAGGAGAGGCAAGGGAGCUUCGCAGACCUUGCCCCGACGCGGUAAGGGUGGAAAGGCGGAGAUAAGCGCCCGCCCGAUGACUGGGAACUGCUCAUCGCUGUAAACUCUAUCCGGAGCAACACCGUGGAAAACGCGCAUGGCCUGCCCGGCCGCGUUUAGGAGGUGGCUGGAGCGCAUCGGCAACGAUGCGCCUAGAUAGAUGGCUGUCUUAAAUGACAGAACCCGGCUUACAGGCUUGCUUGUAUU
Molecule: RNase P RNA, 381 nt
Filed under: Clostridiales bacterium
Lineage: Bacteria; Bacillati; Bacillota; Clostridia; Eubacteriales
Description: partial RNase P RNA component class A
Rfam family: Bacterial RNase P class A
About the family: Ribonuclease P (RNase P) is a ubiquitous endoribonuclease, found in archaea, bacteria and eukarya as well as chloroplasts and mitochondria. Its best characterised activity is the generation of mature 5'-ends of tRNAs by cleaving the 5'-leader elements of precursor-tRNAs. Cellular RNase Ps are ribonucleoproteins.
Source: RNAcentral